CAUUGGCGGGCGGGGCCAGAGCUGCGCCUGCGCGUUGCCCCCUCGCCCACGCAGCUGGGCCGCGGCAGUGGCAAAGGGCGAGGGUUACGCGUUGCAAUGAGGCAAUACCUAAGGUUUACCCUGUGGGUGCCAGUACUGAAGACUUAGUCAGCAUGACACCUGGAAGUUAUUCUGCUGGACAAGUAGAAGAGCUUAGUCCACAAUAAUCUUGUGUGGGUGUGGUUGGAGAGGGAAGUAAGCGUGGGAAGCUUCUUUAGCAUUCAUGCAUCAGUGCAAGAGCUAAUCCAAAUGCAGAAAUAGUACUCUGCUCUUGGAGAACUAAGCUUGCACCUGGAAUAUAGUUUUGCUUACAAGUGUUUUAUGUCUGCCUGGAGAACCUGUCAACCACUGACCGCUUUGAGCCAAGUUCCAACUGCAGGAAAUAAUCCUGAGGAGAAGAGUAGGAAGCAUUUUUGAACACUUUCUCUUCUCAACUUGACCUGCAGGUAGAAAGGCAGUCUCCGUUUUGACAUGUCUUGCUCUGCCAUCUUCAACCACCAAAGAAAGCACUUAAGAGGGCAAAUGAUGCAGUCUGGAGCUAACUCGUGAAAUAGCACAUGUAAUUAAGAUUAUUAUAAGUGUCAGUAGAAACUGUCUGAAUCAUCACCUCCUUACAUGUGAGAAUCUAAUACUGCAUGUCAGCCUAAAUCUAAACAUCUGCAGCAAGCAACUGUAUUUCUCGGAUUAUGAUAAUUCAAAAUGGGAGGCGAAACAGGGGAGAAAGUUUGCAGACUUUCAGGCGGAAAAGAGAAGGAAUCUCCAACUUCUGUGAGCACAGUCACAAACUGACUGAUUUACUUACUUACUGAUGUCAUAAGUCAUGUGUCAUUUAUAAUGUGCUGCCACAAUCCAGCUGGACACGGUUGGCUGGCAGCAAAUUAUCCUGAACCUUGCAAAGGCCACAGACCUCCAGCUUGAGGUAGAAGAUGGCAGCUCCACCACGAUGAGGGACCUCCUCAGGAGCCCUGGAGAUCGCCCUUUUCCCCCAUGACUGAUGCCUGCUUGGCCAGCAGAGAUUCAUCAGGUGCUUUGUCAGGAUGGCAAGCACAGUAGUGAUUAAAUGUUAAAUCCUAACUACGUUUUGUGGGUGCUAUCAAUAAAUAGUUGAUUU
Molecule: long non-coding RNA, 1150 nt
Organism: Chiroxiphia lanceolata (lance-tailed manakin)
Lineage: Eukaryota; Metazoa; Chordata; Aves; Passeriformes; Pipridae
Exons: 3
Source: RefSeq, a predicted model, not a curated record